CUGUGCCACAACCAGACAGUACAGAUUUACUCAGAAUAUGGUGGGACAAUUGUGAUACCUGUGCCUUACUAGCCUGUUGCAUUUGCAUGUCAUCUCAUUUACCAUGCCCUGCCCCAUUUGCACUCCCUUGCAGUGGAAGACUCCUCAAACAAAAAGGAGAAAGUCAAGGGGGCAUCCUCAGAUCAGGCUGAGGCUAUGUCCAGGGUGGGUGAAGAUCCACCCCCACUGGAAGGGCCAGAUGUCAUCGUGCCUAUCUUCAAGGGUGAUGGAUCCUACCUGCUCUGUGGAUUUUGGGCUGAUGAGUCUGAAGCACCAGUCCAGGCCUGUGCUGAGCCCUGGCACCUUAUAACCCAGAAGCCCAUUUGCUGUGCUGAAGCCAUUGCGGAGGAAGAGUCCUCCUGCAAAAAGGAGGAAGGGGACUCAGCAUCUGCAGAGCAGGCCGAGGCUAUACCCAGGGUGUGUGGAGAUCCACCCCCACUGGAAGGGCCAGAUGCCAUCGUGCCUAUCCUCAAGGAAGAUGGAUCCUACCUGCUCUGUGGAUAUUGGGCUGAUGAGCCUGAAGCACCAGUCCAGGCCUGGGCUGGGGCCUGGCACUUUACAACCCAGCAGCCCAUCUGCAGUGCUGAGGACACUUUGGUGGAAGAGCCCUCAUUUCAAGAGGAGGAAGGUGUGGUGGCACCUGCAGACCAGGCCGAGGCUAAUCAGAGCCUCUGCUCUGCAUCACACCUCGGGGUGUGUGAAGAUCCACCCCCACUGGAAGGGCCAGAUGUCAUUGUGCCUAUUCUCAAGGAUGAUGGAUCCUACAUGCUCUGUGCAGUUUGGAUGGAUGAUCCUGAAGCGCCAGUCCAGGCCUGUGCUGGGGCCUGGCACCCUACAGCCCAGCAGCCCAUCUGCUGUGCUGAGGCCAUUGUGGUGAAAGAUGCCACCUACCAAAAAGAGAAAGUCAUGUUGGCAACUGCUGAUUGGGCUGAGGCUACCUCCAGGGUGUGUGGAGAUCCACCCCCACUGGAAGGGCCAGAUGUCAUCGUGCCUAUCCUCAAGGAUGAUGGAUCCUACUUGCUCUGUGGAUACUGGGCAGAUGAGCCUGAAGCACCAGUCCAGGCCUGGGCUGGGGCUCUGCACCCUACAGCCCAGCAGCCCAUCUGCUGUGCGGAGGCCAUUGUGGUGGAAGAUGCCUCCAGCCAGAAGGAGAAAAUAGAGAUGGCAUCUGUGGAGCAGACUGAGGCCACACCCAGGUAAAUCUGCAGAUGGGGUCUUUCUUUCUUUCUUUCUUUCUUUCUUUCUUUCUUUCUUUCUUUCUUUCUUUCUUUUUUUGUGUGAAUAUCUGGAGAUUUGUGACACGGUGGGAGACAAUGUGCAACUGGAGUCCAUUUAUAGCAUUCAAAGUUCCUCCCAAGUAGACUCUGUCUAAGGAGGGCCCCAAACACUUUCCAUGUCAGCCCCAUGUCCAGCCUCCAUUGGACAGCUGCAGAAGUUUCCCUGGGAAAGUCACCAGGCCAGGUCAUUCCUAAUGCCACUGACUCUCUGUGGCCCAUUGAGAGAAUGACCACUCGCUCAGCCUACUGGUUGUCUCUCAUCAGCCCCCCCACCCCACAGUACAAUGGUAGAUACAGGGAAUGUCCACUGCACCCAUGCACUCCUUAGUGCUGAGGGA
Long non-coding RNA from Oryctolagus cuniculus (rabbit), 1654 nucleotides. NCBI's taxonomy places the organism in Eukaryota, Metazoa, Chordata, Mammalia, Lagomorpha, Leporidae. The record is from Ensembl.